GACGAACGCUGGCGGCGUGCUUAACACAUGCGAGUCGUACGGUAAGGCCCUUUCGGGGGUACACGAGUGGCGAACGGGUGAGUAACACGUGAGUAACCUGCCCACAACUUUGGGAUAACGCUAGGAAACUGGUGCUAAUACUGGAUAUGUGCUCCUGCUGCAUGGUGGGGGUUGGAAAGCUCCGGCGGUUGUGGAUGGACUCGCGGCCUAUCAGCUUGUUGGUGGGGUAGUGGCCUACCAAGGCGGCGACGGGUAGCCGGCCUGAGAGGGUGACCGGCCACAUUGGGACUGAGAUACGGCCCAGACUCCGACGGGAGGCAGCAGUGGGGAAUAUUGCACAAUGGGCGCAAGCCUGAUGCAGCAACGCCGCGUGCGGGAUGACGGCCUUCGGGUUGUAAACCGCUUUCAGCAGGGACGAAGCUUUUUGUGACGGUACCUGCAGAAGAAGCACCGGCUAACUACGUG
This 465-nucleotide ribosomal RNA is filed under the name uncultured bacterium. RNAcentral describes it as "partial 16S ribosomal RNA". It matches the Rfam family "Bacterial small subunit ribosomal RNA", at positions 28 to 507 of the family's 1533-position model. The record is from RNAcentral.